Molecule: unclassified non-coding RNA, 224 nt
Filed under: Hevea brasiliensis (rubber tree)
Lineage: Eukaryota; Viridiplantae; Streptophyta; Magnoliopsida; Malpighiales; Euphorbiaceae
Source: RNAcentral
UCAAAUCUUCAAGUUGAUAUAUGUGAGACAGGCUCUCCGAGCUUUUCAUUUCUCAAUUUCAACGUGCGGUUGGAAGUGAUGCCAUCUUAUAACCUGGCAACUGGGCGAGGAAGGUCCCAGUCAGUCACAAUGUGGUUACGGGUAAUCUCCCCCAAUGAGCGGCAGCCAUUUAAUGCCAUUGUUAGCUCGAACUCAUCACGAAGCAUCUGAAGUCCUUUCCUAAU